This 192-nucleotide non-coding RNA is filed under the name uncultured Phascolarctobacterium sp. The record is from RNAcentral. Lineage: Bacteria; Bacillati; Bacillota; Negativicutes; Acidaminococcales; Acidaminococcaceae.
CAUCGCGAGGUGGAAUCUGAAGGAAGCCGGAUGCUGUUGUGGGAAAUCGACAGUGGGCAAAGUUCUGAGCCGACGAACAGAAACCUUAUAUAAGGCUGAAUUAGAGCGGAUAAGUCUGCCAACCAAGAUGAAGUCCAAUGCUACCCGAACUCUAUACAGUAAAUAAGGCGGCUACAUGGAAUGAAAGUUAUC